UGUAACUGGUUAAACUUAAAGUCGAUAUUUUCUAUCGAACUAGUCUAUUUUCUGUUCAGACACAAAGUUUUCUGAUGGUGAUAUUAUGUCAGUGUGUGUUUGUGUGGGGGUCGUGUGCUGUAAUCUUUGAAAGUUUUAUGACCGAACCUUUAUUGGGGAGCGACAAGAGAUCUCCGUGAUCAGUUUGGAUGGAGCAGAGCUGUUAUACUCUAUUGCGAAAUUGUCUAAACUGGUAUUAACUAUUCCUGCUAAAUCGCGGAGAAGAGUGGAAUGAACAAAAAAGUCAGACCGAGACUAGAACCACCCGCAGCGUAACAAGGAAAUCUUGGAGCAAAGAGACGCCGAGUGGCUCGUGUUGUGCGGUUUGGAUAUCUGCUGCAAAGCGAACGUUGUGUGUACUAUUGCAAAAUAGCGGAUCUCCCCGGUUAGGAUACAGACCACAACGCUUUGGACGUAUCUUUAAAAAAGAGAAAAAUCAGAGACUUUUUGGAUUUGUCUGGGGACAUUUUAAACAUUUUGUGUCAAAUUGGAUUUAAAACAUUUCGGAUACUGGAUACCUAGUUUGAUUUGUCCACAGAGCUUGUUUAAGACGUUUUCACCUCA
Molecule: non-coding RNA, 603 nt
Organism: Paramisgurnus dabryanus
Lineage: Eukaryota; Metazoa; Chordata; Actinopteri; Cypriniformes; Cobitidae
Source: RefSeq, a predicted model, not a curated record